This 253-nucleotide ribosomal RNA is filed under the name uncultured bacterium. Its description in RNAcentral is "partial 16S ribosomal RNA". It matches the Rfam family "Bacterial small subunit ribosomal RNA", at positions 524 to 776 of the family's 1533-position model. The record is from RNAcentral.
UACGUAGGUGACAAGCGUUGUCCGGAUUUACUGGGCGUAAAGAGCGCGCAGGCGGUCGUUCAAGUCGAGUGUGAAAGCCCCCGGCUCAACUGGGGAGGGUCAUUCGAUACUGAUCGACUCGAAGGCAGGAGAGGGUAGUGGAAUUCCCGGUGUAGUGGUGAAAUGCGUAGAUAUCGGGAGGAACACCAAUAGCGAAGGCAGCUCGCUGGGACGUUACUGACACUAAGGCGCGAAAGCGUGGGGAGCGAACAGG